UACAGAGGGCUCAAGCGUUGUUCGGAUUCAUUGGGCGUAAAGGGUGCGUAGGCGGCGCGGUAAGUCGGGUGUGAAAUCUCGGAGCUUAACUCCGAAACUGCAUUCGAUACUGCCGUGCUUGAGGACUGGAGAGGAGACUGGAAUUUACGGUGUAGCGGUGAAAUGCGUAGAUAUCGUAAGGAAGACCAGUGGCGAAGGCGGGUCUCUGGACAGUUCCUGACGCUGAGGCGCGAAGGUCAGGGGAGCAAACGGG
Molecule: ribosomal RNA, 253 nt
Filed under: uncultured bacterium
Lineage: Bacteria
Description: partial 16S ribosomal RNA
Rfam family: Bacterial small subunit ribosomal RNA
Source: RNAcentral